RNAcentral lists this unclassified non-coding RNA (265 nucleotides) under fungal sp. RNAcentral's name for it is "partial internal transcribed spacer region". The stretch from base 1 to 46 matches the Rfam family "Eukaryotic small subunit ribosomal RNA", at positions 1786 to 1831 of the family's 1831-position model. Lineage: Eukaryota; Fungi. The record is from RNAcentral.
AAGUCGUAACAAGGUUUCCGUAGGUGAACCUGCGGAAGGAUCAUUACAACUCAGUAGCUUGCUACUGUCGGGAGGCGCUGUAAGUCCGCAUAGUUUCAUUACUGAUGAGCGGCAGGCCCUCUGUCUGUACCCUUGUCUUUUGCGCACUCAUGUUUCCUCGCGGGCUUGCCCGCCGACUGGACAAAACUAUAACCUUUUUAAUUUUCAAUCAGCGUCUGAACAAACAUAAUAAUUACAACUUUCAACAACGGAUCUCUUGGUUCUG